RNAcentral lists this ribosomal RNA (400 nucleotides) under Sphingomonas sp. Z4_31_2. Its description in RNAcentral is "bacterial SSU rRNA". It matches the Rfam family "Bacterial small subunit ribosomal RNA", at positions 132 to 566 of the family's 1533-position model. Lineage: Bacteria; Pseudomonadati; Pseudomonadota; Alphaproteobacteria; Sphingomonadales; Sphingomonadaceae. The record is from RNAcentral.
UCAGGUUCGGAAUAACAGCGAGAAAUUGCUGCUAAUACCGGAUGAUAUCGCGAGAUCAAAGAUUUAUCGCCUGAGGAUGAGCCCGCGUAGGAUUAGCUAGUUGGUGUGGUAAAGGCGCACCAAGGCGACGAUCCUUAGCUGGUCUGAGAGGAUGAUCAGCCACACUGGGACUGAGACACGGCCCAGACUCCUACGGGAGGCAGCAGUGGGGAAUAUUGGACAAUGGGCGAAAGCCUGAUCCAGCAAUGCCGCGUGAGUGAUGAAGGCCUUAGGGUUGUAAAGCUCUUUUACCCGGGAUGAUAAUGACAGUACCGGGAGAAUAAGCUCCGGCUAACUCCGUGCCAGCAGCCGCGGUAAUACGGAGGGAGCUAGCGUUAUUCGGAAUUACUGGGCGUAAAGC